Molecule: ribosomal RNA, 253 nt
Filed under: uncultured bacterium
Lineage: Bacteria
Description: partial 16S ribosomal RNA
Rfam family: Bacterial small subunit ribosomal RNA
Source: RNAcentral
UACGUAGGGUGCGAGCGUUGUCCGGAAUUAUUGGGCGUAAAGGGCUCGUAGGCGGUUUGUCGCGUCGGGAGUGAAAACACCGGGCUUAACUCGGUGCUUGCUUUCGAUACGGGCAGACUAGAGGCAUGCAGGGGAGAACGGAAUUCCUGGUGUAGCGGUGAAAUGCGCAGAUAUCAGGAAGAACACCAAUGGCGAAAGCAGCUUUCUGGGACGGUACUGACGCUGAGACGCGAAAGCGUGGGGAGCGAACAGG